AGUGAACGCUGGCGGCGUGCCUAAUACAUGCAAGUCGAACGGAGAUUAAGUAGCUUGCUAUUUAAUCUUAGUGGCGCACGGGUGAGUAAUAUAUAGCUAACUUGCCCAUUACUAAGGGACAACAGUUGGAAACGACUGCUAAUACCUUAUUCUCCGUAUCUAUACAAGUAGGUACGGGAAAGUUUUUCGGUAAUGGAUAGGGCUAUAUCGUAUCAGCUAGUUGGUAAGGUAACGGCUUACCAAGGCUAUGACGCGUAACUGGUCUGAGAGGAUGAUCAGUCACACUGGAACUGAGACACGGUCCAGACUCCUACGGGAGGCAGCAGUAGGGAAUAUUGCUCAAUGGGGGAAACCCUGAAGCAGCAACGCCGCGUGGAGGAUGACACUUUCUCGGAGCGUAAACUCCUUUUCUUGGAAAGAAUUAU
Molecule: ribosomal RNA, 425 nt
Filed under: Campylobacter showae
Lineage: Bacteria; Pseudomonadati; Campylobacterota; Epsilonproteobacteria; Campylobacterales; Campylobacteraceae
Description: bacterial SSU rRNA
Rfam family: Bacterial small subunit ribosomal RNA
Source: RNAcentral